This 603-nucleotide ribosomal RNA is filed under the name uncultured bacterium. RNAcentral's name for it is "bacterial SSU rRNA". It matches the Rfam family "Bacterial small subunit ribosomal RNA", at positions 8 to 610 of the family's 1533-position model. The record is from RNAcentral.
AGAGUUUGAUCCUGGCUCAGAUUGAACGCUGGCGGUAUGCCUUACACAUGCAAGUCGAACGGUAGAGGAGCAAUCCUCGAGAGUGGCGAACGGGUGAGUAAUACAUCGGAACGUGCCCAGUCGUGGGGGAUAACGUAGCGAAAGCUACGCUAAUACCGCAUACGACCCGAGGGUGAAAGCGGGGGACUCGCAAGAGCCUCGCGCGAUUGGAGCGGCCGAUGGCAGAUUAGGUAGUUGGUGGGGUAAAGGCCCACCAAGCCUGCGAUCUGUAGCUGGUCUGAGAGGACGACCAGCCACACUGGGACUGAGACACGGCCCAGACUCCUACGGGAGGCAGCAGUGGGGAAUUUUGGACAAUGGGCGAAAGCCUGAUCCAGCCAUACCGCGUGCGGGAAGAAGGCCUUCGGGUUGUAAACCGCUUUUGUCAGGGAAGAAAUACUUCGGGCUAAUACCCUGGGGUGAUGACGGUACCUGAAGAAUAAGCACCGGCUAACUACGUGCCAGCAGCCGCGGUAAUACGUAGGGUGCAAGCGUUAAUCGGAAUUACUGGGCGUAAAGCGUGCGCAGGCGGUUCUAUAAGACAGAUGUGAAAUCCCCGGGCUC